Molecule: ribosomal RNA, 394 nt
Filed under: uncultured bacterium
Lineage: Bacteria
Description: partial 16S ribosomal RNA
Rfam family: Bacterial small subunit ribosomal RNA
Source: RNAcentral
AUACGUAGGGAGCGAACGUUGUCCGGAAUUACUGGGCGUAAAGGGCGCGUAGGCGGCGCUUCAAGUCGUCUGUCAAAUGGGAGGGCUUAACCCUUUUUCGCAGACGAAACUGGAGAGCUUGAGAAGCAGAGAGGCAAACAGAAUUCCUGGUGUAGCGGUGAAAUGCGUAGAUAUCAGGAAGAAUACCAGUGGCGAAGGCGGUUUGCUGGCUGCAUUCUGACGCUGAAUCGCGAAAGCCAGGGGAGCAAACGGGAUUAGAUACCCCGGUAGUCCUGGCAGUAAACGAUGUAUGCUGGGUGUGAGACUAGCGAUAGUUUCGUGCCGAAGUUAACGCGAUAAGCAUACCGCCUGGGGAGUACGGUCGCAAGAUUGAAACUCAAAUGAAUUGGCGGGG